This 500-nucleotide ribosomal RNA is filed under the name uncultured bacterium. RNAcentral describes it as "bacterial SSU rRNA". It matches the Rfam family "Bacterial small subunit ribosomal RNA", at positions 63 to 560 of the family's 1533-position model. The record is from RNAcentral.
CAUCGGGAGGGAAGCUUGCUUUCCUUGCUGGCGACCGGCGCACGGGUGAGUAACACGUAUGCAACCUGCCCUCUUCAGGGGGACAACCUUCCGAAAGGGAGGCUAAUCCCGCGUAUAUCGGUUUCGGGCAUCCGAGAUCGAGGAAAGAUUCAUCGGAAGAGGAUGGGCAUGCGGCGCAUUAGCUAGACGGCGGGGUAACGGCCCACCGUGGCGACGAUGCGUAGGGGUUCUGAGAGGAAGGUCCCCCACACUGGUACUGAGACACGGACCAGACUCCUACGGGAGGCAGCAGUGAGGAAUAUUGGUCAAUGGGAGAGAUCCUGAACCAGCCAAGCCGCGUGAGGGAAGACGGCCCUAUGGGUUGUAAACCUCUUUUGUCGGAGAACAAAACCCGGGACGUGUCCCGGACUGCGUGUAUCCGAAGAAAAAGCAUCGGCUAACUCCGUGCCAGCAGCCGCGGUAAUACGGAGGAUGCGAGCGUUAUCCGGAUUUAUUGGGUU